This 225-nucleotide ribosomal RNA is filed under the name Triticum aestivum (bread wheat). Its description in RNAcentral is "partial small subunit ribosomal RNA". Lineage: Eukaryota; Viridiplantae; Streptophyta; Magnoliopsida; Poales; Poaceae. The record is from RNAcentral.
AACCUCCGUAUUGUAUUUUGGAACAUGUGUGGCCUAAAUGCCCCGGCCAAGCGCACCGCCGUCCGCAGCGUGAUCACCGCUGCUACACCAUGUAUCGUUUGCAUUCAGGAGACUAAGAUGACUUCCCUCUCAUCCUCGCUUGUCACUGAGACGCUCGGCCAAUCAUUCUCCGAGUUCUUCUUUCUUCCUGCGGAUGGGACACGUGGGGGCUGUUGGGUAACGUAG